This is a long non-coding RNA of Cavia porcellus (domestic guinea pig), 1290 nucleotides long. RefSeq lists it as uncharacterized. NCBI's taxonomy places the organism in Eukaryota, Metazoa, Chordata, Mammalia, Rodentia, Caviidae. The transcript is spliced from 5 exons. The record is from RefSeq and is a predicted model, not a curated record.
CGAUGCCGCUUGUCUCGACUUUCUGUUCUCCAAAGAAAAACAGCAGAAAAGCGAAACCAGCACAAACUAAAAAUGGGUUGGAGCCAAGAAGUGUAGGAAGCAGAGUUCAAACCUUGGAGAGACGAUUACCAGCUUGGAUUGCAAAAGAAAAGUUUCCAGGAAAACUGAAUUUUUGUGAAUUGAGCUAUCCAUCCAGUCAUCUCCACAACACCGAUAUUUAAAGAUAAGCAGACAUACGGAGAGGAGGCGUUGGCAAGCCACACCACCUUGUCAUAGAGCAGAACUUGAUGUGUGAGGACCCAGGCCUGGGAGGGAAUCUCCAUGGAAGGAAGCCACACUUCUCCGCCAUCCAUGCCUCAGGUGACCAGCUCCUGGGCCCUCUGAAUCUCAGCCUACAUCCUGGAGCAGGUGCUUUCUGGGAUCUGCUUACACAUGCACAGGGCUGAAUCUGACUCAAUAUGAUAAUAGGGAAGAUAGGUGCGCUUACAUCACAUAUCCCAGGGAACCUCUCUGCCAAGUCACACGUACUGCCUCCCAUGACCCAGUCCUCACUGCGGAUCUACACGACAGACCCUGCUCCAGACCUGGAGCCAAGUGGUGCAACUCCCCAUGUGUCAGAAGUGCCAUCUGGGACGCACUGUUGGAAACCUGGGCUCUGCAGCACCCUCCGCUUCCUGCCUGCCACACCUUCGUGUGCACAGUCAGGGCCUGAAAGUCUGCAUCCAUUCAUCUCUUCCAGUCCCAGAUCACACCUGGACAACCCUGCUUUGUAUCUCUAGUCCAUUACACAUCCCGGUUCUCCUGGACUAAGAUACCUGUAGGCAUUAAUACAAAACCCAAAGCACCGAUCUGGAAAAGGUUAGAUUCUCCAAAACAAAUAGUGGCAUAUGUUCUUUCCUUGGUAGCCCUGCAGUGAGUAUAGAUUCCGUCUGCCACCCAGAGUCAGGGGCACCUCUGUCCUUGAAGACCUGGCCUUGCCUAUAGUAUUACUGGGGACAAGAAGUUAGGUGGGCUCUAUUGUCUCCAUGUUGAGGGUCAUUCUUCAUGGUCACCAAGUUCUCUCUGACAUCUCAGCAAAUCAACCCUCCGCUUUGACAGCAAAAUGGGCAAAUGUGGAAAAAAUCUACUCCUUGAACCCCCAUCCACCAUGAAGCAAUGGACUCAGCCUCAUCUUGGUCCGGGACUCAGUGGCAGCCCAUAUCAGGCAGGUUAAUGUACCGUCACCCAUGUCCCCUUCAAAAAUUCUGCCAGAGUGCGAAUUAAAUGCGGCACAAAGUGCAAACUCUUUCA